GUAUUUCACCCUGCCUCUGCAUAUAGUCAUUACUAUAUCAUAAACAUCACAUUUAUCCAAACUACAAGCUAGAACUAGCACAUUUUCAUUUCACUGGUAGAAUCGGGAAGUUUCGACUCCCUGUGUAUUGGUCUGCUCAUAGUGAACCUCAAAGUCCGGCAUUCAUAGUGAAUACUGAUACCGCACGGCAGGUAGAGGGGACGUGCACAAAAACUUGAAUAAUGGUGCUGUUUACUUCGAACGACCAAUACACAUUAAUCUCAGGGCUUCUCUAGGCAAGAUUUUUGAGAAAACGUUUAUUUUUCACUGUUUGUCCUCAUGUCCGUGUGAUGUUCUAUGCCUGGCUGUCCUAAUUACAAACAAGCGUCAUCUUUCACCAUUCUACCUACAAGACUCACCCUGAUUCUGCUGCUAUCAAGAAUGAUGCGGUGACCAAAGAUUAUCAGAGGGAUUUUCAGGCUGAACUGAUGGGGAAUCCAUUUCGACGACAGCUGAGAAGUGAUGCGAUACCAUCAAUUUUUUUCCUUCACAACAAAACAGAAGAUUCUUUAUUAGAGGUUAUCUGGAGUCAUUCCACAGUGCCCUGCUGAAAAAUACCCCAAAGAGGAGGCAUUUUGGGUACACUAGCAUGAGGAACGGGACACACCUUGCAGAUUCUCAAAACACAAUACAAAGACACCUCUACAAAAUUCCCCUCCAAAGGGCUUCUAUUGACAAGGAUGAUCUGUCAAAGUCAAUUGACUGGGGGAGGUUUACAGACAGCACUUUGAGAUGAGAGACGUGCAGUACCAGCAAAUCUUCUUCAAGAGGACCAAACAGUUGGUGGUUAAGAAGCCCUACUCCACUUUCGGCAGAGUCUUAUCCAGCUGGCCGUUCACCGCGACAGGACAAGCACAUCGCCAUAAGCACAAAGAGUCUUGGCUUCCCAAGCCAACCAUUGCCAGUGUACUGAAGCCUGAUAAAUAAAAUAAAAUUGCAUUGGUCGCAUACACAUAUUUAGCAGAUGUUACUGCGGGUGUAGCAAAAUGCUUGU
Non-coding RNA from Salvelinus sp. IW2-2015, 1033 nucleotides. Lineage: Eukaryota; Metazoa; Chordata; Actinopteri; Salmoniformes; Salmonidae. The record is from RefSeq and is a predicted model, not a curated record.